Molecule: ribosomal RNA, 253 nt
Filed under: uncultured bacterium
Lineage: Bacteria
Description: partial 16S ribosomal RNA
Rfam family: Bacterial small subunit ribosomal RNA
Source: RNAcentral
UACGGAGGGUGCAAGCGUUAUCCGGAUUCACUGGGUUUAAAGGGUGCGUAGGUGGGCUAGUAAGUCAGUGGUGAAAUCUCCGGGCUUAACCCGGAAACUGCCAUUGAUACUAUUAGUCUUGAAUACCAUGGAGGUGAGCGGAAUAUGUCAUGUAGCGGUGAAAUGCUUAGAUAUGACAUAGAACACCAAUUGCGAAGGCAGGUCUCUGGACAGUUCCUGACGCUGAGGCACGAAGGUCAGGGGAGCAAACGGG